This 107-nucleotide small nucleolar RNA is filed under the name Gossypium arboreum. RNAcentral describes it as "Plant small nucleolar RNA R71". It matches the Rfam family "Plant small nucleolar RNA R71". Rfam says of the family: R71 is a member of the C/D box family of snoRNAs containing the C (UGAUGA) and D (CUGA) box motifs. Multiple nearly identical copies of this snoRNA have been identified in Arabidopsis, and it is thought to function as a 2'-O-ribose methylation guide for 18S ribosomal RNA. Lineage: Eukaryota; Viridiplantae; Streptophyta; Magnoliopsida; Malvales; Malvaceae. The record is from Rfam by way of RNAcentral.
AUUCCAUGAUGAGGGAAAUUCCGUAAUAACUGUUUGUACCUUUCCCAUGCCUCAUACAAGGACUCAUCAUCCGUUUGAUGGAAAGCAGUGAUCUCAUUCCUUAACUU